Molecule: ribosomal RNA, 2234 nt
Filed under: Acinetobacter towneri DSM 14962 = CIP 107472
Lineage: Bacteria; Pseudomonadati; Pseudomonadota; Gammaproteobacteria; Moraxellales; Moraxellaceae
Description: bacterial LSU rRNA
Rfam family: Bacterial large subunit ribosomal RNA
Source: RNAcentral
AGACCCGAAACCGGGUGAUCUAUCCAUGAGCAGGUUGAAGGUUGGGUAACACUAACUGGAGGACCGAACCCACUGUCGUUGAAAAGCCAGGGGAUGACUUGUGGAUAGGGGUGAAAGGCUAAUCAAACUCGGUGAUAGCUGGUUCUCCCCGAAAGCUAUUUAGGUAGCGCCUCGGACGAAUACCAUUGGGGGUAGAGCACUGUUUCGGCUAGGGGGUCAUCCCGACUUACCAAACCGAUGCAAACUCCGAAUACCUAUGAGUACUAUCCGGGAGACAGACUGCGGGUGCUAACGUCCGUAGUCAAGAGGAAAACAAUCCAGACCGCCAGCUAAGGCCCCAAAAUCAUAGUUAAGUGGGAAACGAUGUGGGAAGGCAUAGACAGCUAGGAGGUUGGCUUAGAAGCAGCCACCCUUUAAAGAAAGCGUAAUAGCUCACUAGUCGAGUCGGCCUGCGCGGAAGAUGUAACGGGGCUAAAACUAUGUGCCGAAGCUGCGGAUUUGACAUUAGUCAAGUGGUAGGGGAGCGUUCUGUAAGCCGAAGAAGGUGGAUUGAGAAGUCUGCUGGAGGUAUCAGAAGUGCGAAUGCUGACGUGAGUAACGACAAAACGGGUGAAAAACCCGUUCGCUGAAAGACCAAGGGUUCCAGUCCAACGUUAAUCGGGGCUGGGUGAGUCGACCCCUAAGGCGAGGCCGAGAGGCGUAGUCGAUGGGAAAUUGGUUAAUAUUCCAAUACUUCAGUGUAAUGCGAUGAGAGGACGGAGAAGGUUAAGUCAGCCUGGCGUUGGUUGUCCAGGUGAAAGGAAGUAGGCAUGCAUCUUAGGCAAAUCCGGGGUGCUCUAUGCUGAGAUCUGAUAGCAAGCUGUACUUGUACAGUGAAGUGGCUGAUACCCUGCUUCCAGGAAAAGUCUCUAAGCUUCAGUUACACUGGAAUCGUACCCGAAACCGACACAGGUGGUCAGGUCGAGUAGACCAAAGCGCUUGAGAGAACUCUGCUGAAGGAACUAGGCAAAAUGGUACCGUAACUUCGGGAGAAGGUACGCUGUUGAUGGUGAUAGGACUCGCUCCUUGAGCUGUCGACAGCCUCAGAAACCAGGCCGCUGCAACUGUUUAUUAAAAACAUAGCACUCUGCAAACACGAAAGUGGACGUAUAGGGUGUGAUGCCUGCCCGGUGCUGGAAGGUUAAUUGAUGGGGUUAGCGUAAGCGAAGCUCUUGAUCGAAGCCCCAGUAAACGGCGGCCGUAACUAUAACGGUCCUAAGGUAGCGAAAUUCCUUGUCGGGUAAGUUCCGACCUGCACGAAUGGCAUAAUGAUGGCGGCGCUGUCUCCAGCAGAGGCUCAGUGAAAUCGAAUUCGCCGUGAAGAUGCGGUGUACCCGCGGCUAGACGGAAAGACCCCGUGAACCUUUACUGCAGCUUGACAUUGAACUUUGACCUUACUUGUGUAGGAUAGGUGGGAGGCUUUGAAGAUGGGACGCCAGUUCCAUUGGAGCCAUCCUUGAAAUACCACCCUGGUAAUGUUGAGGUUCUAACUCUGCCCCGUAAUCCGGGGCGAGGACCAUGUCUGGUGGGUAGUUUGACUGGGGCGGUCUCCUCCUAAAGAGUAACGGAGGAGUACGAAGGUGCGCUCAGCGUGGUCGGAAAUCACGCGUAGAGUAUAAAGGCAAAAGCGCGCUUAACUGCGAGACCCACAAGUCGAGCAGGUACGAAAGUAGGUCUUAGUGAUCCGGUGGUUCUGUAUGGAAGGGCCAUCGCUCAACGGAUAAAAGGUACUCUGGGGAUAACAGGCUGAUACCGCCCAAGAGUUCAUAUCGACGGCGGUGUUUGGCACCUCGAUGUCGGCUCAUCUCAUCCUGGGGCUGAAGCAGGUCCCAAGGGUAUGGCUGUUCGCCAUUUAAAGAGGUACGCGAGCUGGGUUUAGAACGUCGUGAGACAGUUCGGUCCCUAUCUACCGUGGGCGCUGGAAAUUUGAGAGGAUCUGCUCCUAGUACGAGAGGACCAGAGUGGACGAACCUCUGGUGUACCGGUUGUGACGCCAGUCGCAUCGCCGGGUAGCUAUGUUCGGAAGGGAUAACCGCUGAAAGCAUCUAAGCGGGAAGCCUACCUCAAGAUAAGAUUUCCCCGAGGCUUUAUGCCUCCUAAAGAGCCGUUGAAGACUACGACGUUGAUAGGUUGGAUGUGGAAGCAUAGCGAUAUGUGAAGCUGACCAAUACUAAUUGCUCGUGAGGCUUGACUAU